This is a long non-coding RNA of Chenopodium quinoa (quinoa), 499 nucleotides long. RefSeq lists it as uncharacterized. NCBI's taxonomy places the organism in Eukaryota, Viridiplantae, Streptophyta, Magnoliopsida, Caryophyllales, Amaranthaceae. The record is from RefSeq and is a predicted model, not a curated record. The transcript is spliced from 2 exons.
ACCAUAAUAAAAAAAUUAAAAACCCUACCUAGUAUAAUCGCCGCCCAUUACUCCAACUCCCCAUCCUCUCUAAACUCAAUUAUCUAACCUUCUCUCCUAUAUCUUUUAUAUACAGAUUUCCUCAUCUAUAAUCUCUUAUUCAUUUUUAUGUCGAAAAUCACUUAUCUAAUUUCUUUAUCUUUUUCUUCUUGAUCAUCUUAAUUGUUAUCAUCUUCUCACUAGCCCUAUCAUGAAACAGCGAGAUCGUUUUUUGAAUCCCAUAAUUUUUGGCAAUCUCCAGGUAAAACCAUUCUAAGAUUUAUAACUUAACGAAAUUCAAGCACAAACCAGUUAAUGGCGUGAAUUGGACCCAGUCGCAAUAAAAGCAAUAUACGAAGCUUAUGCAAGUGUAGGAAUUACAAACAAAUAAGUUGUUUGAUUGAAUCCAAAUCAAAUUAGCGUUGGAGUACUUGAAUCAUGUAAAAUUGAUAGUUGGAGUUAUUUUAAUAUGCAUUUUUAA